AACGAACGCUGGCGGCAUGCCUAACACAUGCAAGUCGAACGAGACCUCCGGGCCUAGUGGCGCACGGGUGCUUAACGCGUGGGAAGCUGCCCGUAGGUUCGGUAUAACUCCCCGUAAGGGAUGCUAAGACCGGUGAAGGUCUUCGCACCAAAGAUUUAUCGCCUUUGGGUGGGGGCUCGUUGGUUUAGCUAGUUGGUAGGGGAAAAGCAUAGCAAGGCGACGAUGCAUAGCUGGUGUGGGAGGAUGAUAUGCCACACUGGCACUGCGACACGGACUAGAAUCCUACGGAGGGCAGCAGUAGAGAAUAUUGGACAAUGGGGGCAGGCCUGAUACCGCCACGCGGGGGGAGUGAUGAAGGCGGUAGGGUUGUAAAGCUGUUUUAGCCGGGAUGAUAAUGACAGUACCGGGAGAAUAAGCACCGGCUAACUACGUG
RNAcentral lists this ribosomal RNA (433 nucleotides) under uncultured bacterium. RNAcentral's name for it is "partial 16S ribosomal RNA". It matches the Rfam family "Bacterial small subunit ribosomal RNA", at positions 29 to 507 of the family's 1533-position model. The record is from RNAcentral.